This 508-nucleotide long non-coding RNA is filed under the name Vulpes vulpes (red fox). RNAcentral describes it as "lncRNA (ENSVVUG00000027414.1)". The record is from RNAcentral. Lineage: Eukaryota; Metazoa; Chordata; Mammalia; Carnivora; Canidae.
CGGGAGGGGACCGAGCGUGUCCUGGAGAGUCUCACACUAGCAAUGAGCUGCUCCAGCCAGAAGUGGAGCCUCUCGUCAUUCAUUUGGGAGAGCCAGACACACGGAAAGCAGAGCACAGGAACUAUUUGGUGAACAGCCUCGGUGACUCCUGGGGUCUUUGCUGUCUUGAACACACGAGAUACAUUAAACCUUUACCAUGUUCAUGAUCUGUUCCCCAUCAAGAAUGGUUGCUCCACAAGGUCUUUAUCUGUUUUGUUCGCAGAUGUGUCUUCAGUGUUCACAGAUGUGUCUUCAGUGCCCAGUACAGGGCUUGCCAAAAGCAUUCAUCAAGCACCUGAAAGAGGAUAUCUACUCCAGGGCCUACAACCUCCUUUAAAGAAUAAUUUUCUUCCAGUCGGUGCAUCAAAACCUCACUCGUAUCUGGAAUCUCAUUGCAUUCAACAGCCAUGAAUCAGCAGAGCUUGUUCAGAAAUCUCUGGAACCCCUUGGAGGGUAAUAGGGUUGUGAG